CCUACGGGUGGCUGCAGUGAGGAAUAUUGGUCAAUGGGCGUAAGCCUGAACCAGCCAUCCCGCGUGCAGGAAGAAGGCGCUAUGCGUCGUAAACUGCUUUUCCAGGGGAAGAAAACCCGCUACGUGUAGUGGCUUGCCGGUACCCUGGGAAUAAGCAGCGGCUAACUCCGUGCCAGCAGCCGCGGUAAUACGGAGGAUGCGAGCGUUAUCCGGAUUAAUUGGGUCGAAAGGGUGCGUAGGCGGAAGUAUAGAGAACCUUCAGCUUAACUGGAGACUUGCCAUUGAUACUGUUAGUCUUGAGUACGGUCAAGGUAGGCGGAAUGUGUAAUGUAGCGGUGAAAUGCUUAGAUAUUACACAGAACACCGAUUGCGAAGGCAGCUUACUGGGCCAUUACUGACGCUGAUGCACGAAAGCGUGGGGAGCGAACAGGAUUAGAUACCCGAGUAGUC
Molecule: ribosomal RNA, 450 nt
Filed under: uncultured bacterium
Lineage: Bacteria
Description: partial 16S ribosomal RNA
Rfam family: Bacterial small subunit ribosomal RNA
Source: RNAcentral